Molecule: ribosomal RNA, 274 nt
Filed under: uncultured bacterium
Lineage: Bacteria
Description: partial 16S ribosomal RNA
Rfam family: Bacterial small subunit ribosomal RNA
Source: RNAcentral
AUACGAAGGGUGCGAGCGUUAAUCGGAAUUACUGGGCGUAAAGCGCGCGUAGGCGGUUGGAUAAGUCGGAUGUGAAAGCCCCGGGCUCAACCUGGGAAUUGCAUUCGAAACUGUCCGGCUAGAGUAUGGUAGAGGGAAGCGGAAUUCCACAUGUAGCGGUGAAACGCGUAGAUAUGUGGAGGAACACCAGUGGCGAAGGCGGCUUCCUGGACCAAUACUGACGCUGAGGUGCGAAAGCGUGGGGAGCAAACAGGAUUAGAAACCCUAGUAGUCC